Molecule: ribosomal RNA, 253 nt
Filed under: uncultured bacterium
Lineage: Bacteria
Description: partial 16S ribosomal RNA
Rfam family: Bacterial small subunit ribosomal RNA
Source: RNAcentral
UACGAAGGGGGCAAGCGUUGUCCGGAAUCAUUGGGCGUAAAGCGCGUGUAGGCGGCCCGAUAAGUCCGCUGUGAAAGUCCAGGGCUCAACCCUGGGAUGCCGGUGGAUACUGUCGGGCUCGAGUCCGGAAGAGGCGAGUGGAAUUCCUGGUGUAGCGGUGAAAUGCGCAGAUAUCAGGAGGAACACCAAUGGCGAAGGCAGCUCGCUGGGACGUGACUGACGCUGAGACGCGAAAGCGUGGGGAGCAAACAGG